This 490-nucleotide ribosomal RNA is filed under the name uncultured bacterium. RNAcentral's name for it is "partial 16S ribosomal RNA". It matches the Rfam family "Bacterial small subunit ribosomal RNA", at positions 29 to 507 of the family's 1533-position model. The record is from RNAcentral.
AGUGAACGCUGGCGGCAGGCCUAAUACAUGCAAGUCGAACGGCAGCACAGUGGAGCUUGCUCCAUGGGUGGCGAGUGGCGGACGGGUGAGGAAUACAUGGGAAUCUGCCCAGUCGUGGGGGAUAACGUAGGGAAACUUACGCUAAUACCGCAUGCGCCCUUCGGGGGAAAGCCGGGGACCUUCGGGCCUGGCGCGAUUGGAUGAGCCCAUGUUCGAUUAGCUAGUUGGCGGGGUAAAGGCCCACCAAGGCGACGAUCGAUAGCUGGUCUGAGAGGAUGAUCAGCGACACUGGGACUGAGACACGGCCCAGACUCCUACGGGAGGUAGCAGUAGGGAAUAUUGGACAAUGGGCGCAAGCCUGAUCCAGCCAUGCCGCGUGAGUGAAGAAGGCCCUCGGGUUGUAAAGCUCUUUUGUCCGGGAAGAAAAGCAUCGGGCUAAUACCUCGGUGUUCUGACGGUACCGGAAGAAUAAGCACCGGCUAACUUCGUG